Capsicum annuum is the source of this 1819-nucleotide RNA transcript. It is a transcript of the gene named F-box protein At3g07870-like, with no coding region annotated. The record is from RefSeq and is a predicted model, not a curated record. Lineage: Eukaryota; Viridiplantae; Streptophyta; Magnoliopsida; Solanales; Solanaceae. The transcript is spliced from 4 exons.
UUGUACUUAUCAACUUUGGUAUAGACAUGAUUGUAUUUUAAUAGGUCUCUUUGUUAUACGACUCUUGUUUUAUUUUUGUACUUAUCAACUUUGGUAUGUACAUGAUUGUAUUUUAGUAGGUCUCUUUGUUAUGUAGAUUUGAACGUAAUACACAACUAUAAAAAGCCAAUUCUCGUUAAACCCGCAAGACUCUUUUUCCACUCUUCUUCUACUGAUACAAAAAACAGUUGAUCGUCUUCUUCGCCAAUUCUUGUAAAGCCAAAAAAGAUGGCGCCAAAAGGAAAAGGAAAGCAGAAAGGGAAAGGAAAUUCCAAGAAAACAGACAACAGAGCUCAAGAGCCAACAUCCAACUGCAUUUUUAAGCCAGAAAUCAUCUCUAACAUCCUCUCUUGGCUUCCUUUGAAGACCCUUUUACAAUACAGGUCUGUUUGCAAGCAGUGGCAGAAGCUCAUUUACAAGUCCGAUUUCGUCGCCACCCAUUACCUCCAUUCCUCUUCUUUGCAGCGCACUGAUUCAUCCAUGAUUAUUAUACAGAGCCGCGUUGACAAGUCCAAUGAUGGAAGGUUUGAUCAUAAUGUACUCGUACAAUACAAACCCCCUCUACCACCUAUCGAAGUGAAAAAUCCUUACCCUAACAGCUUACCCAAAAUGUCCAUUGCCGGUCCUGUCAAUGGCAUUCUCUGCAUUUUUCAGCCACCUUUGGGUGAUGCGCUUACACUUUGGAAUCCAGCAAUGAACAAGUCUAAGAUGGUCAUGCGUUCUAAAACCAUCAACCCCUCACAGAAAGUAUCAGUUGGAUUGGCGUUUGAUUCACAGAAAAAGGAUUUGUUGAUCUUGAGAAUCUUUUGUGUUCCCCCAUUUCCAGGAUAUACCAAAACCAAUGUGGAAUUCGAAAUACGUGAAAUGAAGUAUCUUUUAGGAUGGAAGAAGCUGAAAAGUAAAAGAAAUUAUUUUUAUAUUGACAAGCCUUCUUGUGAUGCGAUCUUUAAAGCGGAGCCUUAUUGGAUGGCUUAUGAUUAUGAAAAGUAUAUUCCCGGCAAGUAUGAGAGGUUGGUGCGCUUUAAAGUGAGUAAAAUGGAUUUUGAAUGGUUGCUACUGCCAUUUGUCGGAGUAGGGGAUUAUUAUGCGACUCUUGAGAAUUUUGAGGAUUCUCUUGGUUUUUUGAUCUGGUGGAAAAGAGACAAUUCCUAUAUUGAUGUUUGGGAAGUGGAUGAUAAGAAAUUUCAAUGGAGAAAGAAAUGUAAGCUAGGACCGUUAUCCGGGUUUGGCAGAAUUUUGGGCUGUUUGAGGAAUGGUGAUAUUGUAGCCGAGAAUGAAGACGGGGUGUUGUUGUUUUACGCGGUGAAUAAAUCAGAAUUGGUAGUUCAGAAUGAUGAGAACCUUUAUCCUUGCUCAGUUAAGAAGACAUUGACAUUGGAGAAUUCUGAGAAAGGAUCACAUGUGAUUUUUGACUGCCCGGAGGGCCUACUUUUGAUCGAAGGGAUGCUAACAGUUUGAUCCGCAAGAUGUCUUGAAAUGGAAAAGUCUCUUAAGCACAGAAGAAGACUUCAUACGGCCGCUGUGACAACUCUUAGUAUUCACUUCACAACUUUCUCAUACGGCAGUGGAGAGUGGAAGAAGGGCUUUGCAAUAUUUAGGAUUAGAUGGAAAGAAGAGUUCUAUAGGGAUUGAUGUCUUCAAUUUGAAAGAGCAUGACAGUCUGGCGCUUAUCAAAAUUGUCUCAAUUUGAAUGUAGAUUAAUGUACAAAUUUAAAAGAGCAUGUAUCAAAUACUCUCAUGGAUGUUUGUGUUUGAAGCAUAGACAAGGUAAUGUAAUAUA